GACUAUCAAUAAAAAGAUCAGAACUAUAUCUAUAGAGCAACUGAAUUUGCUAAAGGAUGCUGCAAUAGCUGGUUAUGAAAAGAAUGCAAGGCCUACA
Long non-coding RNA from Phalaenopsis equestris, 97 nucleotides. RefSeq lists it as uncharacterized. The record is from RefSeq and is a predicted model, not a curated record. NCBI's taxonomy places the organism in Eukaryota, Viridiplantae, Streptophyta, Magnoliopsida, Asparagales, Orchidaceae. The transcript is spliced from 3 exons.